Molecule: long non-coding RNA, 784 nt
Organism: Magnolia sinica
Lineage: Eukaryota; Viridiplantae; Streptophyta; Magnoliopsida; Magnoliales; Magnoliaceae
Exons: 2
Source: RefSeq, a predicted model, not a curated record
ACAUCCAUUUCAGCAGUUCAUCUUCUUCCACCGCUCUUUCCCAACUUCGCGUCCUGCAUACAGUUCAGCCGCUCAUCAUGUCAGACCCCGUAAAACAGCCUCUUCCCUCGCCCAAAGAACCCCCAUCACCCAAAUCCAAUUCAGGCGCAUUUUUCCUGGCGUCCAUAUUAGGCAUCUGCGUUGUAACUGUCAAUACAGCCAUCUUAGCCGUCCAAUCAUUAGAUAAUCCUUGGGCAUUUUCAUUCGUCCUCCCGGUUUAUGUCCUACUCAAUCUUUUAUUUCUCUUCCUCCAUCUCUACCAUCGAACACCCGAAAAUUCAGGCAGGAGAGAGAUAUGGAAAGUUUCUAUUUGGGCUAUACUCACUGCACUCAACGUUGUUUUUGCAUAUCCCAACAUUGUUUUUGUAUAUCCUAUUACAACGAUUAUGAUUAUGGAGAUGAAGUAUAUUGUCUGGGGAAUGGCUGCCUUCAGUACUGUUUCUGGGUUUUACUUCUUUUUCAUCUUCCCCAAAAACUCCAACAACUUUUAUGGCGCAUGCAAAUCUUGGGAUGGGCAGUCUGUCCUUGAUGAAAAAGUCUAGAAUGACUUUCCCUUGUGGUGCCGAUGAUGUGAAAGUCACAUGUUGCUGGGAUGGACAGCUCCAACGAUGCAUCAUGGAGUUUUCCAACGCAUGGCCUCGUUCUAUAAUCCUUCGUUUUAUUUUGAUUAAUUUACAUAGCUUUGUUUUUAUAACUAUAGACUUAAUAUUUGUAUCAUUAAAUAGGAUAUUCAUGUUAGGAGAGA